Molecule: ribosomal RNA, 465 nt
Filed under: uncultured bacterium
Lineage: Bacteria
Description: partial 16S ribosomal RNA
Rfam family: Bacterial small subunit ribosomal RNA
Source: RNAcentral
GACGAACGCUGGCGGCGUGCUUAACACAUGCAAGUCGAACGGAAAGGCCCCUUUGGGGGUACUCGAGUGGCGAACGGGUGCGUAACACGUGAGUAACCUGCCCUUGACUUCGGGAUAACUUCAGGAAACUGGGGCUAAUACCGGAUAGGAAUCCUUGCUGCAUGGUGGGGGUUGGAAAGCUUCGGCGGUUUUGGAUGGACUCGCGGCUUAUCAGCUUGUUGGUGGGGUAGUGGCUUACCAAGGCUUUGACGGGUAGCCGGCCUGAGAGGGCGACCGGCCACAUUGGGACUGAGAUACGGCCCAGACUCCUACGGGAGGCAGCAGUGGGGAACAUUGCACAAUGGGCGGAAGCCUGAUGCAGCAACGCCGCGUGCGGGAUGACGGCCUUCGGGUUGUAAACCGCUUUCAGCAGGGGCGAAGCUUGUGGUGACGGUACCUGCAGAAGAAGCACCGGCUAACUACGUG